UUAAGAUUGAAGUCCAAAUGUUUAUAUAAAAAAAUGGCUUUGGGCCAUAACAAUUUAAAAACCUAACCAAUUAAUAAUAUUACAAACUUGGGCUUACAACCAAAUGAGUCCAAAACAAUUUAAUUAAAAUAUGUUGAGCCCAAUACAUUUCCAAGAAUGUGGGAACAAGCCCAACAUCCUUUUUCUUCCCUUCCUUUCUCUCCCUCACGGCCGAUCACCCCCCAUGAAGACUCUCCACCUUUCAACUUCUCCACUCUCCAUCUUCCACAAUAAAUCCUCACAAUACACUCCUUGCAACAAGAACAGAGAGAGAGGGGCACGACAGCAGUGGUGGGCCGACGACGAAGGGAGUGAUGAUGAGUUGUAAUAACGAGAGGGAGGAGACGUCGAUGGCGGUUGGUGAACGGAGCUGAGACGGCUGGAGCUCAGCGGUGACGGAGAGGCAGCAGCGCCGCGGCGGUAGCAGCAGCAGAGACUGAGCGACAACUGUGGCGACGGGCUGGUCUCAACGCAGCAGCAUCAGGGAACGGCGGAGGAUCGACGGAUUUGAGAAGGGUACGCCGACAGCGAUGGCACAGUGAGGUCUCGGAGUCGCGAGCAGCAGCGGCGAUGCGACGUCGAAUGCACCGUGACAGCAGCUCACGGACCGCAGCUCGCGAACAGCAGCAACGGUGCCGGCGUCGAGUGGGAACAGCUCCGUGACCGGCGGACAGCAGCUCGCGUUGAUAAAUCAGCGGCCAAGAUGAGCAGCGACGGUGCUGUGAUGGAGACGGUGAGGAGAAAGGCCGGGGCAGCGGCGUGAACCAGCAAAGUGACGAUCUCGCCGCUGUGAUUACCACGACAAUGGUGCUGCAAAUUAAGUGAAGAAGAGAGAUUAGGAAUUUCACUCCUAUUUUGGCUUUUCACGUGAGGAAAUGGAUUACAUUAAAUCAAAGGGUGACUCUAUGCACGCUCCUCGAUAACGGAAUGGAAGACAAGUUAAGGCUUUAAACGAAUGAGGUUGAGCGUGGACGGGAGACGGAGGAUGUUGAGCAUUUGGACAAAGACAG
Molecule: long non-coding RNA, 1049 nt
Organism: Salvia splendens (bonfire salvia)
Lineage: Eukaryota; Viridiplantae; Streptophyta; Magnoliopsida; Lamiales; Lamiaceae
Exons: 3
Source: RefSeq, a predicted model, not a curated record